Diorhabda carinulata is the source of this 7835-nucleotide RNA transcript. It is a transcript of the gene named tyrosine-protein phosphatase non-receptor type 11, with no coding region annotated. The transcript has 13 exons. The record is from RefSeq and is a predicted model, not a curated record. NCBI's taxonomy places the organism in Eukaryota, Metazoa, Arthropoda, Insecta, Coleoptera, Chrysomelidae.
UAUUCAAGAUGGCGUAUAACUUGAAAGUUCAAUUUCGAUGUUCAUUUAAAUUGUUUCUAUAAUUUUGUAUGUUACAAAAUGAGUUCUAGAAGAUGGUUUUGGCCGACAAUUAGUGGAAUUGACGCAGAAAAAUUGUUAAUGGAAAGAGGGUUGGACUGCAGUUUUUUAGCACGACCUAGUUCUUCGAAUCCCGGUGAUUUUACUUUAUCUGUCAGACGCAAUGGAGAAGUGACUCACAUCAAGAUCCAGAACUCUGGAGAUUUUUAUGACUUAUACGGGGGUGAGAAAUUCGCUACUCUCUCUGAAUUAGUUCAGUAUUAUACAGAGAAACAGGGGCAAUUGAAGGAAAAGAAUGGUGAAAUUAUAGAACUCAAGUACCCUCUUAAUUGCGCUGAUCCUACUACUGAACGGUGGUUUCAUGGACAUUUAUCUGGAAAAGAAGCAGAAAAACUCAUAUUAGACAGAGGAAAGAAUGGUAGUUUUUUAGUUAGGGAAAGUCAAUCUAAACCAGGAGAUUUCGUAUUAUCUGUACGAACAGACGACAAAGUCACGCAUGUGAUGAUAAGGUGUACACCGGAUAACAGAUACGACGUUGGAGGCGGCGAACAAUUUAACAGUCUCGCCGAUUUGAUAGAACAUUACAAAAGAAAUCCGAUGGUCGAAACUUCCGGUACAGUUGUUCAUCUGAAACAACCUUUUAACGCCACAAGAAUAAAUGCAUCUGGAAUCCAUUCUAGAGUGAAACAAUUGCAAAGCGACAAUGGUCCUAAUAGUUUUGGGAAAGCUGGAUUUUGGGAGGAAUUCGAGUCACUACAACAACAGGAAUCGAAACAUUUAUAUCAUAGAAAGGAAGGUGUCAAACCGGAAAAUCGAAACAAAAACAGAUACAAAAACAUACUACCAUUUGAUAACACUCGGGUGAAACUUAAAGACGUAGAUCCGACUGUACCCGGAAGUGAUUAUAUCAACGCCAAUUACAUAAGAUGGAGAGUAGACGAGACCAUCGGUUCCGAAUUGGGUGGUGAUCCAAGUGGUAAAGUCUACAUCGCCACCCAGGGUUGUCUACCUACUACCAUCGCUGAUUUUUGGCAGAUGGUAUGGCAAGAAAAUUGUCAAGUAAUCGUCAUGACCACCAAAGAGACGGAAAGAGGGAAAAACAAAUGUGCCAGAUAUUGGCCCGAUGUAAAUUGUACAAAAGAAUAUGAAAAAAUUAAAGUUAGGAAUUUGUUGGAGUCUCAUACAUUGCAUUAUACUUUGAGAGAAUUUUUAGUUAGUAUCGAAGGAUCAAAUUGUGAAAGGAAGGUGUUCCAUUAUCAUUUUCAGGCGUGGCCCGACCAUGGUGUACCUUCUGACCCAGGCUGUGUUUUAAAUUUUCUACAUGAAGUCAAUAAACGUCAGGAAUCGUUACAAAUAGAAUUCCCAUUACAGCCCCCGGGGGCUAUUCUAGUGCAUUGUUCCGCUGGUAUCGGUCGCACGGGCACAUUUAUAGUAAUUGACAUGAUUUUGGACCAGUUGAAAAAAUAUGGUCUUGAUUGUGAAAUCGACAUCCAACGUACAAUUCAAAUGGUGAGAUCUCAACGUUCCGGAAUGGUACAGACUGAAGCACAAUAUAAAUUUGUUUACUUAGCAGUACAACAUCAUAUAGAAACUACUACAGAAAGAAUGAAGGCUGAACAAAAAUCCAUGCAACUCGGAAGAGAAUACACAAACAUAAGGUACAGUAAUGAUAUAGGAAAUAGUUGUAUGUCUCCAACAACACCAGGCGGUUUCGGAAGUAUUUCAUCACCAAAUAAUCAUCGUUGUAGUACAACCAGUAUCACAUGUCCCAGUGUUAAUUCAGUUACUUUGAGACAGGAUAUUAAGAAACCGCAGAGAGCUUUGUCCGAAAUAUCGUUGCCAAGGGUUGAAUUAGAAGUAGAAUGUUUCGUAUAGAUGCUCAUAUUAUCUACGUGGUCCUUAACAAAACUGACGAAAAUGCUGGCAAACUAUCUCAGAGAAUAUCAUAAAAUAUAUAUCACCUCCGGAUGAUUUAGUGAAACCUUCUCUAUACGAAAACAUUCCCGGUAAUCCUGCAGGAUCAAUAAUUUGUCCUGUACCGCCCCCUCCGCCUAGAAAAGCCACGUGACCUAAGAAAAAAUUUACAUUAUAUUCCAGUUAUAUUUAUACCUUCCCGAUAUGUAAAGAAUGUAACUAGUAGUUGUUUAAAAAAGAAAAAAAAUACCUGUUUAUAAAUAUCCUUGAAUAAAUUAUUUUAUUUAUAUUGAGGUAAUUUUAAAAAGUGAAACUUGGAUUUUAUUAUUAUAAAAGGUGUCCCAAAAUUUACGCAAAAUUUGAAUUAAAUAGCUGGAUGUCCACGUGGAUAUGAAUUUGUUAGCACAAGAAAUCCAGUAUUGUUGAACAUCUGAAAUGAAGGAGUACAUAGCUUUGAAAUUUCUCUAGGAAUAAUUGCAAUGUUUCAGAAUAAAGUUUUUCCAAUAAUACCAUCCAAACUAGGAAAAAAAUAUCCAGUACUAAAAAUAUUCGUUUUUUAAACAACUUGUUUAUUGAAAUGUUUACUCUCGAUGACAGUUGGCUUCAAAUUUAGUAUUUAUUACUGCGUGAAAAUACAAAAUUUUAAAUUAAAAAAAUGAAUUUAGACGAUUCUAGUGAUGGUGAAUUAGAAUACGUCAAGGUCUAGAAAAUUCAAAAAUUUUGUAGGUAGUUUCAACAUUUCAGUAAGGCCUCCAUAUUGCGUUACGUCAUAGGUAUAAAAUAAAGACUGAACAUAUGAUAUAAAAUAAAACGAUUCUCUCGGUUUUUCUAAAAUAAGCGUUACUAUUAAACUUUAAUUAAUCUCGAAAAUGGUAUAUAAUAUGUGUUUUGUGCCAGGAUGUGAAAAUACCACGACUAAAACACCUGAUGAUUAAGUUUUUUUUUAUAAUGCCAAGAAAUUCGAAUAUACUACAAAAAUGGUUUGAAUGUGUUGAUCGUUUUGACGAUUAUUUUAAUGUAAGUAAGUUUGAAAUUCAACUUAUUUUUAUAUCUUAUAGUAAUUAAGUUUUCUACGCUUUUAAUUUUCAACGUGAUUAUGUAAUAAUGCAAGAACUUAACCUAUAAAAGGUUUAUUCACUUAUAUAUAGAAAAAUGUAUUAUUUAUACAUGACUAAUAAAUAAAAACUUUAUUGUAACAGCACACGCUACGUUGCCGGCAAUGAUAACCUCGUGAUCAUCAAUCUGACAACUGCUCAAUGUUUUUAUUAAACCCCUGACGUUACAAUUGAAAAGCAAUGGGAAUCGUUUUCUCAUGUAGUUGAAAAUUUGAAAUUUUUGCGAUUUUCAAUUAAAUAUCAAGAACUUAUAAAAUAAACAAAAAAAUAAAUACUUUCUAAAAAAUGCAAGUACUCUAUUUUUAUAUGAUUCCUUGCCCCAAUAUUAGUGAACUGUAGUUUAUAGUGAAAUCUAAUUUUACUAUUGAACAGUUCAUUGUAGGUUGAUGGCAUAAUAAUCAACAUCAAUUAAAAGAUUUACUCUUGUCAAGUUUAAAACAAAAAAUAUUGAAAUGUAUCUCCUUGUAAAAACCAGGAGAGUUAAUAUUGAAAUUAUUGCAAUAAUAUUAAAAAUUUUCACUAGUUAGCCUGAUACAUUUUAUACUGAACACACUGUUUACACCAACACUCACAAUUACACUGUCUAACGCGCGUUUCUAACCAAGUUAUCGUCUUCACAGACUGUUUCAGUGUAAUUUAUAGUGGUGGUGUAAACAGUGUAAUUGUGAGUGUUGGUGUGAACAGUGUGUUCAGUAUGAAUAUCCCCAACGGUUCCAAAAAUUCUAACUUAACGAUACACAUGUGAUUUAUUCGAAGCUGGUAGUUUGCUGAAAAUGAAUAGAAAUGAUAUAAUUUUUUUGAAACCGACAUGCACACGCGGCAGUGUGCUUUUACAUUGUUUUUUCUUAGAUGAAAAAGGUACCAUUACCAAUUUUCGUGAUAUUUGAUAUAGAGUGAAGCGCAAUUCGUUUCCAAACCUUUAGAUAUUUACUAGGUUUUGUGUCAAUUGAAAUUUUCAAGCACGCAGAAAAAAAUCUUCGGAGCUUUUUAUCAAUUUCUAUUUUAUAAUAGAAGCAAAACAAAUUUUGUAAUAAUGUUGGGAUACCUUUUGAUAGGCCGAAACAACAGUAUGUGAUUUAACAUCAUGAAAAAUUCAGUUCAAGGUUGUCAAUUUCAGAACGUCAUACAUUUUGUAACUUUCCAUCGCUAGUAACUAGACUAGACUAGUUUAAAGCUAUCUAUGUGUAGUUCUUUUGAAAAAUUUCUUUAUUCUCUCGCUCUUUCCAAACACACUAUUGAAAUUAUCUACUGUAUUUUCGUUUAUAUAAUAUAUAGGAUAUAUUGAAAUAAAAAGAUUUCUCAUCCAUACUAUAUGUGUAUAGAAAACAGAAUAGCAUCAAAAGUAUCAAAGUGAUCAAAAAUAUUUUGUGAUGUAUUAUUUUUCCAAUGAUGAAUGGAGUUACAGAUUAUAUUGGAUGUUUGAAUAUAAUAAUGUGCUUCUGCAGAAUUUUUAUUUAUAUAAUUGUUUAAACAACUCGAUGUUCGAUCAUCAUGCAAAAAGUAUUUAUUUAUACAAAUAAAACCAUUUGAAAAAAUAAAAAUAAAUCAACAAUUCUCCCUUUUAGAGGUUUAUUUUAUCCAAAUUGUAUCACCCGUGCCACUCUCCACUUUUUCUAAUAAAUAUUGUCUCCACUGCUUCUAAAUACAUACACUUAACGGCAAAUAAACAUGACACUCAGAUUUGCUCUUGUAAAUUUGUCGAAUAUAUUGAUCUUUUUAAUUUGAGGUAAGAAUUGGUUAAUUUAUAAGUUAUUUAUACCAAAUCUGCCCCAAAUUAAUACUUUUUAUAAAUCGAAGAAAUAGAAUUUUGGACGUACUCCACCGACAUUCUUUAUGGAGAGUAAUUUAGAGCUGAUUUAAGUCACUAGAAGGAGGAUGACGAUAUCUAGCACACUUCCCUAAAUUAUUCACAAAUGAUCUAUAAGUUGAAUAUUGGUAAAUCGUGCUGGAUAGUCAAGAUCUGUGAUUCCCAUUUGCUCCAAGUAUUCUGUAACAGUUCUGGCGGUAUGUGGACGGGAAUUAUCCUGUAUUGAAUUGAAUUUUUCGCCAAUAAAUGAAGUAAAUGAGAUCACAACUUCUAGAAAUACUUCCUCGAUGUACCUCAGAACAGUCAAAGCCCAGUAUAUCAAUUCUGCUCUUACGUGGAAAUUAAUUUCACCCCAAACCAUAACUAAUUUUUUUCAAUGAUUGUAAUCAGCGAAAAGUACAUUCGCUUCCCUGAUUGCAUCCACACUAUCUCGAUCAUCUGAUUUGUAUAGACCAAAACGAGACUCGUCUGAGACUAAGGUAACGCAUUUCUCUUCGAUGCCUUUCCAAGAUUCGAAGCAUCGUCGCGAGUCACCUUUACACAUAUGUUUCGCGCCAUUUCAAGUCUCUCUUGAAGCGUUUGAGCUAUUAAAUAUCGGUCUCUUACUAUCAUUGUUGUCCUUGGUCGUCCACUGUUUGCUCUCAGAUCGUACCUAUCAGUCUUCCGGAAACGACUAAUCACAUCGUGAAUGGUAGACUUCGCUACCGCAAGCAUUUAUGCGAUGUUUCGGCCUUCUCUCGCCAAGGCAUCAGCUCGGGCUAUGCCUACAUAACUAUUAUUCUGGACCAUAAUAAAAAAAUAAGUCUAAUAAUGAUACAACAGGUUUGGUUAAUAAUUUGAUAAAUCAACUUCAAGACAAAUAAAUCAGAGCCUUAUCUAAUGUUCUACUAAUCCUGAUCUUAAGGCACUACAUUGUCAAUAAUAAUCAGAUUACCUACGGAAACUAACACAUUCAUCGCAAUUAGCCUUCACUACGAAAAAUAUGAAGUGUCCAGUUUUUCAUGCUAUUUCAGUUUAUUUUUGAGACCAAUUACAUCCUAUUCAAAACUAUUGAAAGUUUCUGUCUAAAGACGUCACGUCUAACUUUCCUGCCUCAUUAUAUAACAGUUAAACUGAAUGAAGUAGUUAAAUAUUGGAGAUGCAUUUAAGUACUGGAGGAAGAGACUUGACUAUCACAUGAAACUACCAAAAAGGGACACAAGAGUUUCAUUGGCCAUUUGACACACUAUAAUUUUUACUACCAAGUGCAUCUUAUGAAUCAGAAAUGCACUUUAGACAGGUAUGUUAUUUAACUUUUAAGAUAAAAAUUUCGAUUAACACUUUCUAUUGUGUAUAAACAAUAAUUGUUAUUUACUAUUAUUGUUAUAUCGCCCACUUCGUAAUAUCUACUCUAAUAAUGUAAACAGAAGAGCAUUCUAAUUUUUGAAACUUGAAAAAUGUAGUGUAAUUUAAAUCUGGAGAGUGUGGAUUGAAUAAUGACCCCCGUACAUUGUUUUGUGAAAACCCCUGGAGAGGGUUCAACUUUUUGAAGUGAAAAAGAUCAGAGGUAGAGUUGAGUAGACGAUAAUUGUAAGUAGGUACUUAUUAUUAGUUAUAAAUAAGAGGACUUUUUAACACAAUUUGAAAAACUAAUCCGCCUUAAUAAGUGCCUUCUUAUUUUACUAAUCAGAAUUGGAUCUUCAGUUCAAGAAGACGUCUAGAAUAGAAUAUGGAAAGUUCUCAUUAUGAAUCUUGAGUGAUUCUAGUAGGAAGAGUUCUGACUUUUAAAAUAUGAUAAAAGUAUACAAAAUUUACACAUAAAAUAAUAUUUUAGUGUUAUAUUAAAUAGCCGGGAGAAUUAGCAGAUGGCUUACACCUAAUAUUUGAACUUAUAAUUUAUAUACUUCCAAUUGAUGUAUUAGAGAUUAUUAGAAGUUUUCUUUGUGGAAUUAAUACUGAAGAUUGAAGACAUUUUUACAACAUUACAAACAUUUCUUCCAAUUUUCUUCUUCUUUCUAACAAGUAUAAGCCCAGCAUUCUCACCAUCGUUUAAGUGACUUUCCUUGUGGUCUUCCUCCUUCUGGGUUAUUCAUUUUUUCGUUCUUAACAAGUCCACUGUCUUCCAUUCUUUUCAUAUGCAUUUUCCAGAAUUUUCGUUUCUGAUUCAUCCACCUUCCUAUGUUCUGUAUUCCACUUUGCUGUUUAAUAUCAUCAUUCCGUAUUCUGUCUUGUAGAGUUUUCACUUGUAUACUUCUUAGUAUUUUCAUUUCGACUACUCUGGUCGUCUGUAGUGUCUUAAUCGUAUCUGGUCUUGUUUUUGUUGCGUAUGUAAUGAUAGGUCUUACAGUCCUUUUAUAUAACUUGAUUUUACUUACGGUAUUUGUUCUUUCUAAAUUUCAGGCAUACCGAAUUACGAGACGCUUUCAUUGUUUGUUCUCUUAUUUCAUUAAAAAGGUUUCUCUAUGAUUCUUUUUUCCACUCCCAGUUUUCUUAAAUGAAAAAAUGUUUAAAUCUUAUCGGUUCUUUGGACUUUACUAAGCAUUUCGUCUUCUCGUUGUUGAUGGGCAUGUUUAAUUGUUUUGCUUUAUUGAUAAAGUUCUUCAAUUACAGAUAAUCUGGCCCAUUAUUAGAUUCAAUGAUAGUAGUGUUAUUUUGAAUACUCAGUAAUGAGCAUUAAUCAACUUAUAUUGUUAAAACAAAUUAUAUUUUGUAUAUAUUAGGGUUAUGCAAAAUAUUUUGUCGAGAGCUUAUUUUUUCAAUUUGAUGAAAUUAGUUAUGAUUAUUAUUUAUUACUUAUUAUUAUGUUUUGUAUAAUUAUCACUUUUUAGCGUAAAAAUAACGGUGCUAAUUAAUGUUUUAAGCUUGUCAGCGUUGUUAAUAUUUUCUCGCAUUUUUAAAUAUUAUUGUGACACUUCAUUAGUUUAAAUUAUAUUUAAACAAAAAAUAAAUAAUCAUUAUAGACA